RNAcentral lists this ribosomal RNA (497 nucleotides) under uncultured bacterium. Its description in RNAcentral is "partial 16S ribosomal RNA". It matches the Rfam family "Bacterial small subunit ribosomal RNA", at positions 28 to 507 of the family's 1533-position model. The record is from RNAcentral.
GAUGAACGCUGGCGGCGUGCCUAAUACAUGCAAGUCGAGCGAACAGAUAAGGAGCUUGCUCCUUUGACGUUAGCGGCGGACGGGUGAGUAACACGUGGGUAACCUACCUAUAAGACUGGGAUAACUUCGGGAAACCGGAGCUAAUACCGGAUAAUAUUUCGAACCGCAUGGUUCGAUAGUGAAAGAUGGUUUUGCUAUCACUUAUAGAUGGACCCGCGCCGUAUUAGCUAGUUGGUAAGGUAACGGCUUACCAAGGCGACGAUCCGUAGCCGACCUGAGAGGGUGAUCGGCCACACUGGAACUGAGACACGGUCCAGACUCCUACGGGAGGCAGCAGUAGGGAAUCUUCCGCAAUGGGCGAAAGCCUGACGGAGCCACGCCGCGUGAGUGAUGAAGGUCUUCGGAUCGUAAAACUCUGUUAUUAGGGAAGAACAUACGUGUAAGUAACUGUGCACGUCUUGACGGUACCUAAUCAGAAAGCCACGGCUAACUACGUG